Molecule: long non-coding RNA, 323 nt
Organism: Morus notabilis
Lineage: Eukaryota; Viridiplantae; Streptophyta; Magnoliopsida; Rosales; Moraceae
Exons: 5
Source: RefSeq, a predicted model, not a curated record
GUACAAGUAACGUAUGAAGAGAUUUGGAUUGGAGAAGUGAACUGCUCUCUGGUUUCUCCUCAAAAUGUAAUGAAAUGAUAUGAACAGAACACCAGAAAAAAUAUGUUGGGAUUGAUUCAAGAUCAUGAGUUUCCAUGCAUGGAUUAUGCAAAUGAUUCAUAGUGGUCUAGUUUUCAAGAUACGCAAGUCAAUUAUGCAAGUUUAAUGCAUUGUUUUGUGUCGGAGAAGCGAACUACGGAACGGAACACGCAUGGUUAAAACAAAAUGGAAACAAGGAAUGCGGAUUCUGCUUGAUGAUAUUUGUCAGGGCAUCGAAGACAUAU